AACACCAGGGAAUUGCCUCAGUAACGGCGAGUGAAGCGGCAACAGCCCAGAUUUGAAAUCUGGCCCUUCUCGGGUCCGACUUGUAAUCUGCAGAUGAGUCUUUUGACGGAGCGCCGUCCAAGUUCCCUGGAACGGGACGCCGGAGAGGGUGAGAGCCCCGUACCGACGUGCGCCGAGUCUCUGCAAAGCUCAUUCGAAGAGUCGAGUAGUUUGGAAAUGCUGCUCUAAUUGUGGGGUAAAUCUCCCAUAAGGCUAAAUACCGGCCAGAGACCGAUAGCGCACAAGUAGCGUGAGCGAAAGAUGAAAAGAGCCUUGAACAAGGGCGUCAAAAAGUAUGUGAAAUUGUUAUGGGGGAAGCGCUCAAUGCCAGACGUGGCGACGGCUGGUUACCCGGCGUUCUUCGCCGGCGCACUCUGCCGCCUGCCAGGCCAGCAUCAGUUCGGCCUGGGGCCCACUGCCGCUCGGAACGUAGCUCCUCCGGGAGUGUUAUAGCCUUGCGGUGACGUCCCGGGCCGGACUGAGGAACGCGCAUCUGCCCGGAUGCUGGCGUAAUGGCUUUUAGCGACCCGUCUUGAAACACGGACCAAGGAGUUGACCUAGCAUGCGAGUGUUUGGGUGUAAAGCCCUCACGCGCAGUGAAAGCGAACGCAGGUGGGAGCCCUCGGGCGCACCAUCGACCGAUCCUGAAGUUCACGGAUGGAUUUGAGUAGGAGCAUGUUGGGUCUGACCCGAAAGAAGGUGAACUAUGCAUGAAUAGGGUGAAGCCAGAGGAAACUCUGGUGGAGGCUCGCAGCGGUUCUGACGUGCAAAUCGAUCGUCAAAUUUGGUGCAUGGGGGCGAAAGACCAAUCGAC
Molecule: ribosomal RNA, 853 nt
Filed under: Pleurotheciella dimorphospora
Lineage: Eukaryota; Fungi; Ascomycota; Sordariomycetes; Pleurotheciales; Pleurotheciaceae
Description: Pleurotheciella sp. HBJ-2021a partial large subunit ribosomal RNA
Rfam family: Eukaryotic large subunit ribosomal RNA
Source: RNAcentral